Molecule: ribosomal RNA, 305 nt
Filed under: uncultured Planctomycetota bacterium
Lineage: Bacteria; Pseudomonadati; Planctomycetota
Description: bacterial SSU rRNA
Rfam family: Bacterial small subunit ribosomal RNA
Source: RNAcentral
AAUGAACGUUGGCGGCGUGGAUUAGGCAUGCAAGUCGAGCGAGAACCUCGCAAGAGGGGACAGCGGCAAACGGGGUAGUAAUGUGUCGGAACGUGCCCUCUGGACGGGGAUAGCGGCGGGAAACUGCCGGUAAUACCCGAUGAACUCGAGAGAGCAAAGGUGUGAUUCCGCCGGAGGAGCGGCCGACAUGGUAUUUAGCUAGUUGGCGGGGUAACGGCCCACCAAGGCUGUGAUGCCUAGGGGAUGUGAGAGCAUGAUCCCCACCAUUGGGACUGAGACACUGCCCAGACACCUACGGGUGGCUG